This 379-nucleotide ribosomal RNA is filed under the name uncultured eukaryote. Its description in RNAcentral is "partial 18S ribosomal RNA". It matches the Rfam family "Eukaryotic small subunit ribosomal RNA", at positions 592 to 975 of the family's 1831-position model. The record is from RNAcentral.
CAAUAGCGUAUAUUAAAGUUGUUGCAGUUAAAAAGCUCGUAGUUGGAUUUGUGGUGUACUUCGGCGGCCCGUCACUAUGUGAUGGAGCUUGCUGAAGUCGCCAUCCUUGGGUGGAUCCUGUGUGGCAUUAAGUUGUCGUGCAGGGGAUGCCCAUCGUUUACUGUGAGAAAAUUAGAGUGUUCAAAGCAGGCUUAUGCCGUUGAAUAUGUUAGCAUGGAAUAAUAAGAUAGGACCUUGGUACUAUUUUGUUGGUUUGCGCACCAAGGUAAUGAUUAAUAGGGACAGUUGGGGGUAUUCGUAUUUCAUUGUCAGAGGUGAAAUUCUUGGAUUUUUGAAAGACGAACUACUGCGAAAGCAUUUACCAAGGAUGUUUNCAUUA